AUGUAUGAAGUUCAGAUUUAUCUGCAGGUGCAAAACACUAGUGUUUUUGGUCCAUUGUUUCAGUUUCACAAGCCGCAACCCAUGCGCCGCCCCCAACCCGCCCCAACCGACGAUGCCGCUGCCGUCCCGCCCCAAACCGGCAACGCCGCCGUAGCCCCGCCCCAACCGAGCGCCGCCCCUGCUCCUUCAGGCGAUGCGCCCUGUUUCGCAUGCCUUGUUCCACUGUCCACCGGCUCCGUCCGUCGUCCUUUCUCUCAACUUCUUCUCCGUCGGCAGGGACGAGCAGGGAGCUGUCAUCCAUGUCGUCCUCAACCACCUUGCAAGAAACAGUAA
Molecule: ribosomal RNA, 333 nt
Filed under: Triticum aestivum (bread wheat)
Lineage: Eukaryota; Viridiplantae; Streptophyta; Magnoliopsida; Poales; Poaceae
Description: partial small subunit ribosomal RNA
Source: RNAcentral